RNAcentral lists this long non-coding RNA (2247 nucleotides) under Equus caballus (horse). Its description in RNAcentral is "lncRNA (ENSECAG00000052724.1)". The record is from RNAcentral. Lineage: Eukaryota; Metazoa; Chordata; Mammalia; Perissodactyla; Equidae.
AUGAAAUCUUCCAUUUCAUAAAGAGUUACUAUAACGAUACCUAGCAUGUGUAAAGGUUCUAUUACAGGCAUUUUUACAUGGGAUCAUGCAAUUCCCCCCAACCACCUUACAAGGUAGAUGUCAUCAUCAUUCUCAUUUUACACAUGAGGAAACAGAGGCCAGAGAGGUUAGGAAAUUUGCCAAAGGUCAUACAGCCAGCAUGUGGCUGAGCGAAGUGUCGUCACCCGCAUUUGUCACCGGCAGGCCAGCCUGCCCUUUUGUUGGGCGCAGCCAGAUCUACUUGCUGUGUGACAUUCCAGGAUGGGAGGCAGAUCAUGAAAGAAUAAACAGAGAGAGAUCCACACCUGCCAACUGUGACCGUGCUGCAAAGUGUGUGAAGUGGACACGACCUAGAGAAGAUGCCCACAGCCAGCGGGGUCUGGACCCUGCUUGGAGGGAAAGCUUUGAAAUGGAGCACUGACAUGCCCAAUCUCGGGAGUGACAAGCACUCAGCCUGGGAGGGGUACAGGCCUGGUGUGCCAGCCAGUCCUGAGGGCAGCACUGGACUCCUGCAUGGGGACCAUUCACCCAGCGCUUUCUUCAGCUGACUCUGAUACCUGACCAAAGACAAAAUGAUCUGCUUAUCGACUUUUAAAUUAAUUAUAAUGAAGCUAAUGCAUGACAGUGGGAUUUCACACGUAUUAUCUGUUUGGGCCUCCCCCAGGAGAUGCACAGAGUUAGUGUGAGUGGCCUCAUUUUGUAAUGAGGAGAGGAGUGGAUAGUGGCAGACAGAGAGGAGGGUGCCCUGCUGGGGUGCUCAGGUUGGCAAGAGGGAGAGGUGGCAGCUCACAGCCUCUGUGGGAAGCCCCUUCUUUGCCCAGUUACCUGGCCGUAGAUUCAGCAUAAUGGAAUGAAGGCCACUGCCGGGCUCGGUGCAUGACUCGGUGCAGAUCCCACUGCAGAGAGUGAACAGAGGGCCUAGAAGGAACCCCAGUCAGAGAGUCAGGAGUUGCGGGUCCAGACCUGGCUGUACCACGACCCGGCUGUAUACACUGAACAACCCCAACUGAAUGGCUCCCUUCACCCUGGUGAGCAGGGAGGUGUGUCCGGCAGGGGACCCAGCAGGGGCUGCACUGCCUGCCCCCUAGGCAUGUCUGUCCACUGCUCCACGGGGACAAACAGAGCCUAUCAGUAGGCAGCAUGAGGCCAGAGGCUGCUGUGUCCUGUCAGGGCCAGAGCCCCACAGCAUUUCCAGUUGUACUGGCCCUCUGCUCACUGGGGUGCCCAUGGGCAGCUUCAAGCAUUUUUAAACUUAAUCCUCAGCCUUUCCCAGCACAGCUUACCAAUACCAACCACUACAUCUAGAUGCUAAAAAGUCCCUGAUGGCUUGGAUGGGAUGAAAAUACAGCAGAUGCAUGGAGCUCAUGGCAAACUGGAGGUUAUUUUAUCCACCUGUGGUGGUCUAUGAGCAAACACUUUUAUUGCCAAGUCAAAGAUUUUGAUUCUCUAGGCUUAAGAGGGGCCUGGAGAUGUGUAGGUGCAAAGCCCCACAGGUGACUCUGAUGGAUGGGAGGGUUGAAAGCCAUUGCUGUGAGCCAGAUGCAUCCUUCCACAGAUGUGUUAAAUGAGUCCCUAAGUCGUGCUGCUAAGCCAAGGCAGAAGGAGGCACGAGCCUGUUUCUCUGGACACCCUCUAAAACUCUCCUUCCCAGUGGGAGCUGCACUCAAUCACGUGGUGGCCUGGUACAAAGGCACUUUUCUGUCCCCAACUAACCUACUGAGUCAGAAUCUCUGGGGGUAGGUCCAGGAUAUACCCGGACUGCAUCAUCGUAAAUGUACCCAUUCUAGAGAGGAAGUGUCAGAAAGCAGGCUUGGGAUAGCCCUUGGAGUCUCCCCUUCCAGCAGCACCCAGCUGUAAGCUCAGCACUGAGGUAGAAAGUCAUCCACAUGCAGAAUGACCCUGGAAAACACCUCAGUCCUCUCAGAAGGCACAGAGCAGGGCAGGCAGAUUUUACGGAAAAUUGAAAUAGUGCAAUAACAAAAUAGUAAUACCAUUUCACAUUUUGUAAAAAACAAAAAAAUAAUGCACAUCCCCUCCCUCCAAUUAAAAAAUAUGCCGAGAAUUUUUCAUACUCUUGGAAGGUGUUGGUUGAGUGAAGCCUAAACUGUGCUCUCAUCGCAGUGGCCCACCUUAUUCGUAAACAGAAACACUGGCACUCUUUGUCAGGGUAGGUUGUGAAUUAUGUAAAGGUGUCAAGAAUGAUCCCAG